RNAcentral lists this ribosomal RNA (497 nucleotides) under uncultured bacterium. RNAcentral's name for it is "partial 16S ribosomal RNA". It matches the Rfam family "Bacterial small subunit ribosomal RNA", at positions 28 to 507 of the family's 1533-position model. The record is from RNAcentral.
GACGAACGCUGGCGGCGUCUCUAAUACAUGCAAGUCGUGCGAUGAAGAUUGUUGUUUGCUCCAAUUUGAAAAGCAGCGAACGUGUGAGUAACGCGUGGGGCAUCUGCUUUAGAUCGUGGGACAACAUCCGGAAACGAAUACUAAGACCGCAUAACAACUUUAAACAUCAGUUCCAAGUUUGAAAGAUGCUAUUGCAUCAAACAAAGAUGAUCCCACGUUGUAUUAGCUAGUUGGUGAGGAAAAUGCUCACCAAUGCGAUGAUACAUAGCCAACCUGCGAGGGUAGUCGGCCACAGUGGGACUGAGACACGGCCCAAAGGCCUACGAGAGGCAGCAGUAGGGAAUAUUCGGCCAUAGCCGAAAGUAUGACCGGGCGACGCUGCGUGAGGGAAUAAGGUUUUAGGAUCGUAAGACUCUGUAGGUAGAGAAGAACGUUGGUGUGAGUGGAAAGCUCAUCAAGUGACGGUAACUACCCAGAAAGGGACGGCUAACUACGUG